CUUGACUCUAGUCUGGCACUGUAAGGAGACAUGAGAGGUGUAGCAUAAGUGGGAGGUCGGUCCAGUGCCGGCCGACGGUGAAAUACCACUACUUUCAUCGUUUCUUUACUUACUCGGUGAGGCGGAGGGCGCGCGUCGUUCCCCGUGUUCGGCGCGCGGUCUUCUGGAACCAAGUUCCGCCGGUCCAAUCCCCGGUGUCCCGAUCCGAUCCGAGGACACUGCCAGGCGGGGAGUUUGACUGGGGCGGUACAUCUGUCAAAGAAUAACGCAGGUGUCCUAAGGCCAGCUCAGCGAGGACAGAAACCUCGCGUGGAGCAAAAGGGCAAAAGCUGGCUUGAUCCCGAUGUCCAGUGAGCAUAGGGACUGCGAAAGCACGGCCCAUCGAUCCUUUUGGCUUGGAGAGUUUCCAGCAAGAGGUGUCAGAAAAGUUACCACAGGGA
Molecule: ribosomal RNA, 440 nt
Filed under: Vistrolepisma aff. stilivarians AM-2022a
Lineage: Eukaryota; Metazoa; Arthropoda; Insecta; Zygentoma; Lepismatidae
Description: Visma aff. stilivarians AM-2022a partial 28S ribosomal RNA
Rfam family: Eukaryotic large subunit ribosomal RNA
Source: RNAcentral